UACGGAAGGUGCGAGCGUUAAUCGGAAUUACUGGGCGUAAAGCGCGCGUAGGUGGCUUGAUAAGUCGGGUGUGAAAGCCCCGGGCUCAACCUGGGAACUGCACUCGAUACUGUCAAGCUAGAGUACGAGAGAGGGGGGUGGAAUUCCAGGUGUAGCGGUGAAAUGCGUAGAGAUCUGGAGGAACAUCAGUGGCGAAGGCGGCCCCCUGGCUCGAUACUGACGCUGAGGUGCGAAAGCGUGGGGAGCAAACAGG
RNAcentral lists this ribosomal RNA (253 nucleotides) under uncultured bacterium. RNAcentral describes it as "partial 16S ribosomal RNA". It matches the Rfam family "Bacterial small subunit ribosomal RNA", at positions 524 to 776 of the family's 1533-position model. The record is from RNAcentral.